CAUCGCAUUUUAUAGAGAUUUAAUAUAAUUCAUAUUUAAAAAUGUCACCUAUCAAAAUUCAAACCUGGUUUCUAAUUGAUAUUGCUGUUUGCUUACUUUUUGCUAAUCUACUGUCGGCUGCUGAUAUACCACCGCCUGGUAAGUUAAUGUUUCUUCUUCUUCUAAGCUUAAUUUUAU
Parasteatoda tepidariorum (common house spider) is the source of this 177-nucleotide non-coding RNA. Lineage: Eukaryota; Metazoa; Arthropoda; Arachnida; Araneae; Theridiidae. The record is from RefSeq and is a predicted model, not a curated record.